AUGUAAAGUUAUGGUGUAUCUCUCUUCCAGAGGGUGACAGUCACAAAGCACCAUCUUGAAACAGAGAAGAGCCUUUCCCAGACAGCUGAACCUGCCAGAACCUCACCAUGGACGUCUCAGCCUCUGUAACUGCAAGGCAUCAGGUGCCAGAGAAAUCAUGAGACACAGAGAGACCUCACCAGUUGACUGGCAACAUGGGAUGUGUUACUCCUCUGCUCCAGACUGGGGCUGUAGACCAUCAAGCUGUGCGGCUGCUGCUGGGCCUGGCUCUGGGCACAGGGCCAGCCACUGCCCCUUGCCCUUCUUCCCGGAGAAAGGAAUAAAUUCAGAUCUAUAC
Molecule: long non-coding RNA, 337 nt
Organism: Mus musculus (house mouse)
Lineage: Eukaryota; Metazoa; Chordata; Mammalia; Rodentia; Muridae
Product: predicted gene, 41439
Exons: 3
Source: RefSeq, a predicted model, not a curated record